CAGAGAAUAGUUUAAAAAAAAUGCCAAUUUUGGGGAUUGAGGAUAAAAGGUUUUUUUCUCUGA
Molecule: transfer RNA, 63 nt
Filed under: Polycheles baccatus
Lineage: Eukaryota; Metazoa; Arthropoda; Malacostraca; Decapoda; Polychelidae
Description: tRNA-Pro
Source: RNAcentral